AACCUAGCACACCUGCGGUGUGUACCUGCGGAGGGAUCAUUAAAGGGAACGCUGGUCCAACCAGCAUCCUCCAACCCAAUGUGUACCCGCCUUGUUGCCUCGGCGUGCCUGCGUCGUCCGUGGCGCUGCCGGCUCCGGCUGGAUAGCGCACGCCAGAGGAAAUGUAAACUCCAGCUUCAACGAGUGCAGUCUGAGCUUUAAUCAAAUAAGUUAAAACUUUUAACAACGGAUCUCAGAUCG
This 240-nucleotide unclassified non-coding RNA is filed under the name soil metagenome. Its description in RNAcentral is "partial contains 5.8S ribosomal RNA, internal transcribed spacer 2, and large subunit ribosomal RNA". The record is from RNAcentral.